This is a long non-coding RNA of Haemorhous mexicanus (house finch), 263 nucleotides long. RefSeq lists it as uncharacterized. The transcript is spliced from 3 exons. NCBI's taxonomy places the organism in Eukaryota, Metazoa, Chordata, Aves, Passeriformes, Fringillidae. The record is from RefSeq and is a predicted model, not a curated record.
GGCAGCACAGGCUCCUCCUGCUCCAGGGAGAGAGGGCAACCCUUCCUCUGCCUUCCACAGAGAAACUGUUUUCCCUCCUGGCAGCAAGAUUUCAUAAUCCCAAAAGCAGGGGGAAGGCAGCUGUACUGCACAUGCCAAGGUGAAACAAAAUAAUUGAUCACAAGGGUGGAUACAGAGCAUCAGAAUUGUGGUUAUUAAAGUUUUACUGCUGGCAACAAUCCUUGGCUCAGUGCUCUUGAAUUCUACCCUGGAACCCACAGGUA